AUGCCUAAUCUUGCACAAAUUUCUUUUAAAGGAAAUCAUUUGAGUGGCCGAAUACCACCCCAAAUGUUCAAUAACACGCCUGCCUUGAAAUACAUCCACUUCGGAAACAACAGUCUAUCGGGUCCUAUACCUGAUGGUAUUUCAUCCCUAUCCAUGCUGGAGUUGCUCAACUUGCAGUUCAAUCACCUCUCAGGCCCUGUCCCGCAAGCCAUAUACAACAUGUCCAACCUGCAUGUCUUGCUACCGUACAACAACCUAACCGGUCCUAUUCCAGACAACCGAAGUUUCAGCCUACCAAUGUUGCAACAAAUUUCCCUUGGCGUGAACAAAUUCUCUGGACCAUUUCCAUCUGCGCUUGCAACAAGCCAGUACCUAGAAAUACUUUAUUUGGGCCGUAAUAACCUUCUUGGCUCGAUCCCAGCUGCUCUUACCAACCUCACUAGUCUCACCAUGCUAGACCUCCCUUCCUGCAACUUGAAAGGAGAGAUUCCACCAGAAAUUGGUCUGCUCCAUCAACUUUCUCAUCUGGGCCUUGCAAGCAAUCAAUUGGCAGGUUCAAUCCCUGCUUCCCUUGGCAAUUUAUCCAAAUUGUAUUCCCUAGAUUUGAAAAGAAAUCUAUUGUCCGGUUUAGUACCAGCAGCACUAGGGAACAUUCCAUCCUUGACUAGGCUUGUUCUGAUUGGAAACAGUUUAGAGGGGAACCUAGACUUCUUGUCGUCCCUCUCCAAUUGCAGACAACUUCAGUACCUUGUCAUAUGGGGUAAUUUUUUCACUGGCGCCAUCCCUGACCAUGUGGGGAACCUCUCUACACGACUCAUCUUAUUUGAUGCGGCUAACAACAAGAUAACAGGCAGACUUCCAUCAACAGUGUCAAACUUAACCAAUCUUCAAUGGCUAGAUCUUUCUACCAACCUACUCACCGAUGAAAUCCCAGAAUCUUUCACUAUGAUGGAAAAUCUUGUGUAUCUUGAUCUCGCCCGAAAUAACAUUUUAGGCCCUAUUCCAACACAAAUCGGUAAGCUUGGCGCAAUACAACGAUUGUUUCUACAAAGAAAUAGACUCAUAGGCUCCAUACCAAUCAGCUUUGGUAAUCUUAGUAGCAUAGAAACCAUCGACUUGUCCAAUAACCAACUAAAUUCCACUAUACCUCCAAGCUUAUUCCAUCUUGAUAAGCUUAUUCAAUUGAAUCUUUCUUACAAUUCUUUUGUUGGUGCUUUACCAGCUGAUGUUACAGGGCUAACACAAAUCAAUCUAAUCGACAUUUCUUCCAACUUCUUGAUUGGAAGUAUCCCAGAAUCAUUUGGAAAACUUGUGAUGCUUAUUUACCUAAAUUUAUCACACAACUCGUUCGAGGGCACAAUUCCACACAAACUUGGAACGCUAACUAGCUUAGCAUCAUUGGACAUCUCCUCCAACAACCUAUCAGGUACCAUUCCCAUGUUCUUUGCCAAUUUCACCGAAUUGACUACCGUAAACCUCUCCUUCAAUAGGCUAUCAGGUACCAUUCCCAUGUUCUUCUCAAAUAUCACAUUGCAAUCAUUGAUCGGGAAUGCUGGGCUAUGUGGGGCUCCACGCCUUGGUUUUUUGCCAUGUCAUGAGAAAUCUCACUCAACCAACAGACACUUACUAAAAUUUCUACUCCCAGUUGCCAUGGUAGCCUUUGGAACUAUUGCUAUUUUCAUAUACAUAUGGAUCAAAAACAAACUUAUGAAGAAGGGAGAGGUCAAUGCUUCUGUUGAUACAACUGAAGGCAUAGGCCAUCAGAUAGUUUCCUAUCAUGAGCUGAUCCGUGCAACUAAUAAUUUCAGUGACGAUAACAUGUUGGGCUCUAGAAGCUUCGGAAAAGUCUUUAAGGGCCAAUUGAGUAGUGGUUUGGAGGUUGCCAUAAAAGUUAUUCACAUGCAUAUUGAGAAGGCCAAGAGAAGCUUUGAUGCCGAGUGUCGUGUCCUUCGCAUGGCGCGACACCGCAACCUGAUAAAGAUAAUCAACACUUGUUCUAACCUUGAUUUCAGAGCACUUGUUCUUCAGUACAUGCCCAAUGGUAACUUAGAGACAGUCCUACACCGGUCUCAUGAUAUAGUUCAACUGGGUUUCCUUGAGAGACUGGGUAUCAUGCUUGACGUGUCGAUGGCAAUGGAGUAUCUGCAUGAUGAGAACCAUGAGGUGAUCCUUCAUCGUGACUUGAAACCUAGCAAUGUGUUGUUCGACGAGGACAUGACAGCGCAUGUGGCAGACUUUGGCAUUGCAAAGUUACUUCUAGUUGAUGAGAACUCUGUGGUAUGUGAAAGCAUGCCUGGAACAAUUGGAUACAUGUCACCAGAGUACGGUUCUCUUGGAAAAGCAUCACGGAAAAGUGACGUGUUCAGCUAUGGAGUCAUGAUCCUUGAAGUUUUUACAAGGAGGAGACCCACAGAUACAAUGUUCAGUGGGGAACUAAGCCUUAGGCAAUGGGUUCAGCGGGCAUAUCCCGCGGAGCUUGUCCAGGUCGUUGAUGGGCAGCUACUGCAAGGCUCCUCUCCUUCUAGGUGCAACAUACAUUAUGACUUUCUUGUGCAAGUAUUCGAGCUUGGUUUGUUAUGCUCCAGUGACUUGCCUCGUGAAAGAAUGACAUUCAAGGAUGUGGUAGUGAGAAUGGUGAAGAUCAAAGCCGAAUAUGUCAAAUGGAUAAAAAUGACAUCUGAUAUGGCACAAUGA
RNAcentral lists this ribosomal RNA (2694 nucleotides) under Triticum aestivum (bread wheat). Its description in RNAcentral is "partial small subunit ribosomal RNA". Lineage: Eukaryota; Viridiplantae; Streptophyta; Magnoliopsida; Poales; Poaceae. The record is from RNAcentral.